RNAcentral lists this ribosomal RNA (774 nucleotides) under uncultured archaeon. RNAcentral's name for it is "bacterial SSU rRNA". It matches the Rfam family "Archaeal small subunit ribosomal RNA", at positions 102 to 859 of the family's 1478-position model. The record is from RNAcentral.
GGCUAACCUGCCCUUGGGACAGAGACACCCCCGGGAAACUGGGGCUAAUCCCUGAUAGGUGAAGAACUCUGGAAUGAGUCUUCACCCAAAAGACGCCUAGGCCACGCUUCUAGGCGCCGCCCAAGGAUGGGGCCGCGACCGAUCAGGUUGUUGGUGAGGUAACGGCCUACCAAGCCUUUUACCGGUACGGGCCGUGAGAGCGGGAGCCCGGAGAUGGGCACUGAGACAAGGGCCCAGGCCCUACGGGGCGCAGCAGUCGCGCAAACUUUGCAAUACACGAAAGUGUGACAGGGCUAUCCCGAGUGCCGUCCGCUGAGGGUGGCUUUUACCCAGUCUAGAAAGCUGGGAGAAUAAGGAGAGGGCAAGUCUGGUGUCAGCCGCCGCGGUAAUACCAGCUCUCCGAGUGGUGUGGAUGUUUAUUGGGCCUAAAGCAUCCGUAGCUUGCUGAUCAAGUCCCCUGUUAAACCCAACGAAUCAAUCGUUGGAUUGCGGGGGAUACUGCUCGGCUAGGGGACGAGAGAGGCCGACGGUAUUUUCGGGGUAGGGGUGAAAUCCUAUAAUCCCGAGAGGACCACCAGUGGCGAAGGCUGUCGGCUAGAACGCGCCCAACGGUGAGGGAUGAAAGCUGGGGGAGCGAACCGGAUUAGAUACCCGGGUAGUCCCAGCUGUAAACGAUGCAGGCUAGGUGUUUGGGCGGCUACGCGCCGCUCUAGUGCCGCAGGGAAGCUGUUAAGCCUGCCGCCUGGGGAGUACGGCCGCAAGGCUGAAACUUAA